Scylla paramamosain (green mud crab) is the source of this 526-nucleotide long non-coding RNA. RefSeq lists it as uncharacterized. The record is from RefSeq and is a predicted model, not a curated record. The transcript is spliced from 2 exons. NCBI's taxonomy places the organism in Eukaryota, Metazoa, Arthropoda, Malacostraca, Decapoda, Portunidae.
CUCGUGGCCCAGUGGGUAGAGUGAUGCACUUGGAGUUUGGCGUGAGGGAAGUGAGGGGCGCGUAGGUUCGAACCCCCUCUCGGAACUCACAAAAACCUUCAAAGAGCAUCCCUCCAUCACCAUGUGUGCCUCAAACACACAGGUACGGUGAUGGAGCUGCCCACGGGGAGGAGGGGAGGUGAGUGCGCAGCACCUCCCUACCCCUCCCCAGGGGAGGAAGGCACCGCCUUACCGCCCCCGGGAGAGCAAGGGAGGUGAGUGCACAGCGCUUCCCUUCUCUCCCCUACCUAACCCUGGCAAGUCUACGGACUACCAGGCAAAAAAUAAUAAAAACAAAAAAAAAAAUAAAAUAAAAUAAAAAAAUAAAAAAAUAAAAAUAAAGGUAAGUGCAUAGCACUUCCCUUCUCUCCACCUAACAGGAAAAAAUAAAUAAAAAAAAACAUAAAGGUGAGUGCAUAGCACUUCCCUUCUCUCCCAACCUACCAGGCAAAAGAUAGGAAAAAAAAAAAAAUAAUAAUAAUAAAAA